Molecule: unclassified non-coding RNA, 377 nt
Filed under: uncultured Oligoflexaceae bacterium
Lineage: Bacteria; Pseudomonadati; Bdellovibrionota; Oligoflexia; Oligoflexales; Oligoflexaceae
Description: contains 16S-23S intergenic spacer region
Source: RNAcentral
UCCGGUUUAACACCGGCAGUCUCCCUAGCGUCCCCAACUUAAUGAUGGUAACUAAGGAUAGGGGUUGCGCUCGUUGCGGGACUUAACCCAACAUCUUACGACACGAGCUGACGACAGCCAUACAGCACCUAUCUCCACGCUACCGAAGUAGAAGUCAUAUCUCUAUGAUUGUCGUGGGAUGUUAAGCCCAGGUAAGGUUCUGCGCAUUGCGUCGAAUUGAACCACAUACUCCACCGCUUGUGCAGGCCCCCGUCAAUUCCUUUGAGUUUUAGCCUUGCGACCGUACUCCCCAGGCGGGAUACUUAAUGCGUAAGCUUUGGUACCCAGGGGGUUAACACCCCGGACACCUAGUAUCCAUAGUUUACAGCGUGGACUAC